CUGGUACGAUCGAGAAGUUGACCGGUUGUCAAAUUGAUUUUUUUCUUCGCAAGCAACGUUGUCACGCUCUCAUUUUGACUAGUAGUCCGAUUUCAUGGUUGGUGUAUUGCUAGGGUUAAUAUCUUCUACACAACAGUUUUAUAAUUCGCGGUCAUACCUGUUCGCGUCGGCCAGAAACGAAAAUUUCGUCUAUUUGAUUGCCUAGUUCACCAUGAAGACGAUAUAAAUAGUGGUUUGUUUCCAUCGGAUGCAGUUCGCCAUCGUGAGGUUGCUAGUAACGUUGCAAAUGUAGAAGAGCUAUGGAAUCGACAGCAGUCCGUGGAUCAACCAGGCGCAGCUGCCGUCGACGACUAGCUGACAGGUGAUUUCGUCUCGGUGAAAGAAGGUGAUUGCCUCAUUACAGCAACUAACUAUAAGCGGGUAAUAAUCCCACAACUUUGUUCUUUUCUUUUAUUACUCGCGCAAUAAUUAUAUACAAGCAGUAAAGUAAGUGAGUUGUCAAGUAUAUAAAACUGGAGCGCUCGUUGAAAGCUGAAAUUUCUUUAUCGAGGAAGAAAAUCUCACAUUGAUUAUAGCUUCUCACAAUUCGUGCUCUUAUUAUUUAUGCAGUCUUAUUACGUUUUAUGUUUUAUUGUCAUUAUCAUUAUUGCUUUAACAUGCUGCCUAAUUAACGACUAUUUAAUGACACUGGCUGUAAGAUUUUGCACUUAUGUCUAAUGAUAGAACAUAAAAAUUUGCCUUAUUUAACGAUAAUUAAUUCUUAACCCUUUCGCGACGGCGGAGUUA
This is a long non-coding RNA of Wasmannia auropunctata (little fire ant), 786 nucleotides long. RefSeq lists it as uncharacterized. The transcript is spliced from 3 exons. The record is from RefSeq and is a predicted model, not a curated record. Lineage: Eukaryota; Metazoa; Arthropoda; Insecta; Hymenoptera; Formicidae.